RNAcentral lists this ribosomal RNA (1266 nucleotides) under Dicranocephalus sp. RNAcentral describes it as "16S ribosomal RNA". The stretch from base 826 to 1196 matches the Rfam family "Archaeal large subunit ribosomal RNA", at positions 2150 to 2716 of the family's 2987-position model. The record is from RNAcentral. Lineage: Eukaryota; Metazoa; Arthropoda; Insecta; Hemiptera; Stenocephalidae.
UUAAUAAUUUAUUUAAUUUAUUUGUUUUUAUUAAUAUAUUAUUUGAAUUAACUUGUUUUUUAGUAACUUUUAUUGAAAUUAUUAAAUUUAUUUAUAGUUUAUUGUACUGUAAAGGAUUAUUAUUUGUUUUAUUUUAAGUAUACUUUUUUUGUAGUACCUUUUGUAUCAGGGUUUGUUAAAUUUAGAUUAUUUAUAUAAUUUUCCCGAAGCUUAAAGAGAUAUAAUAAUAUGUUAUUUUAUGUAUUAUAAUAAUUAAUAAUAUUAUUAUAGAGGUUAUAUGCUAUUCAAUUUGAGAUAUCUGGUUCUUUGAUAAAUGAAUUUAAUUCAUAAUAAUUUAGUUGUUUCAUAAUUUUAUUUGUUAACAAUUAAAUUAUUUAAUAUUAUUGGGGAUUAGCUCAAUAUUAAUUUUAUAAUUAUUUUUUGUUUAGAAUUAUUGUAGGCUUAGUAACAGCCAUCAUUUAUUUCGUUAUAGUUAAUAUUCUAUUUAUUUUUAUUUAUUAUUUAUUUAAUUUUUUAUCAAAGUUUAGAGUUUAAUUAAUAAUCUUUAGUAAUAAUGAUAAAAUUAGUAGUCUUUUUAUUUUAAGUAUUGGAACUCGGCAAAUUUUAUCUUCGCCUGUUUAACAAAAACAUGUCCUGAAGUUUUAAAUUUUAGGUUUGACCUGCCCAAUGAUUGUUAUUUGAAUGGCUGCAGUAUUUUAACUGUACAAAGGUAGCAUAAUCACUUGUCUUUUAAUUGGAGGCUAGAAUGAAUGGUUGGACGAGGGAUAAACUUUCUUUGCUUAAAAUGGAUAAAUUUAAUUUUUUAGUCAAAAAGCUUAAAUUUGUUUGCUAGACGAGAAGACCCUAUAGAGUUUUAUUUAUUUAUUAAUAUUUGUUAUUAGGUUAUUUUGAAUGUAAUAAAUAUUAUUAAAUAAAUUUUGUUGGGGUGACAGUGAAAUUUAAUUAACUUUCAUUUAUUUAAUUUCAUUAAUUAAUGUUUUUUUGAUCCUAUAUUAUGGAUUAUAAGAUUAAAUUACCUUAGGGAUAACAGCGUAAUUCUUUUGGAGAGUUCAUAUCGAUAAAGGAGUUUGCGACCUCGAUGUUGGAUUAAAGUUAGUAUUGGGAGCAGUAUUUCAAUUACUAAGUCUGUUCGACUUUUAAAUCUUUACAUGAUCUGAGUUCAAACCGGCGUGAGCCAGGUUGGUUUCUAUCUGCAAAAACCUUUAAAUAUUUUAGUACGAAAGGACCAUAUAUUUAUAAUAUUUAUUAAUUGUUGAUUAUUAUUAA